CCUGGGCACACUGAAGACCUUCUGAGCCCCGCGCUGCAGCCUCAUGAAGAGCUGUGUUCUUCAUUCUGAGCAGGAGGAAUAUUAUGAUACAGCUUUAAACAAACACUGCAGCGUCUGAUGCCGUACCGUCCUGACUUCUGGUCAACGUCUGCUCCUCGCUGCAGCAACACAGGAAGUACGUCAUGGUGACCACUGACCACAGCCACUGCCAGAGCAUGUCGGCCGUCAGGGUCGCAGCAAGAAGGGUCUGCCCCCUAGUGGUCAACCAACCAACAAACAAACAAAAAUAAGUCAUACAGACACGAAGCUAACAGUCAACGUGACCUCACAACCGUCAUCUUCAAAAACAGCAGACACCAGCUGAGGGCGCCAAGAUACGAAACGUCAGACACUCCAGAUACACCAGGUCACAGGUUAAUGGGUGUCAAAGU
Long non-coding RNA from Cynoglossus semilaevis (tongue sole), 431 nucleotides. RefSeq lists it as uncharacterized. NCBI's taxonomy places the organism in Eukaryota, Metazoa, Chordata, Actinopteri, Pleuronectiformes, Cynoglossidae. The transcript has 3 exons. The record is from RefSeq and is a predicted model, not a curated record.